Acanthosepion pharaonis is the source of this 105-nucleotide non-coding RNA. NCBI's taxonomy places the organism in Eukaryota, Metazoa, Mollusca, Cephalopoda, Sepiida, Sepiidae. The record is from the annotation of a GenBank genome assembly.
UACGGUCAUUGAAACACCCGUUCUCGUUCGAUCACCGAAGUUAAGCAACGCCAAGCCUGGUUAGUAACUAGAUGGGUGGCAGCUUAGGAAUACCACCUGCUGUAA